CAGCAGUCGCCACGGUAAUACGAAGGGGGCUAGCGUUGUUCGGAAUUACUGGGCGUAAAGCGCACGUAGGCGGAUAUUUAAGUCAGGGGUGAAAUCCCGCAGCUCAACUGCGGAACUGCCUUUGAUACUGGGUAUCUUGAGUAUGGAAGAGGUUAGUGGAAUUGCGAGUGUAGAGGUGAAAUUCGUAGAUAUUCGCAGGAACACCAGUGGCGAAGGCGGCUAACUGGUCCAUAACUGACGCUGAGGUGCGAAAGCGUGGGGAGCAAACAGGAUUAGAUACCCCGGUAGUCCCUGUCUCUUAUAC
RNAcentral lists this ribosomal RNA (304 nucleotides) under uncultured bacterium. RNAcentral's name for it is "partial 16S ribosomal RNA". It matches the Rfam family "Bacterial small subunit ribosomal RNA", at positions 506 to 807 of the family's 1533-position model. The record is from RNAcentral.